Molecule: ribosomal RNA, 428 nt
Filed under: uncultured prokaryote
Description: bacterial SSU rRNA
Rfam family: Bacterial small subunit ribosomal RNA
Source: RNAcentral
UGAGGAAUUUUGCGCAAUGGGAGCAAUCCUGACGCAGCAACGCCGCGUGGGUGAUGAAGGCCUUCGGGUCGUAAAGCACUGUCAGGUGGGAAGAAUGUCCCGGGACUGAACCGGUUUUGGGAGUGACGGUACCACCAGAGGAAGCACCGGCUAACUCCGUGCAAGCAGCCGCGGUAAUACGGAGGGUGCAAGCGUUAUUCGGCAUUCCUGGGCGUAAAGCGCGUGUAGGCGGUCCUGCAGGUCGGAUGUGAAGGCCCCGGGCGUAACCCGGGAAGUGCAUUGGAAACUGUGGGACUUGAGUACUGGAGAGGAUGGGGGAAGUCCCGGUGUAGAGGUGAAAUUCGUAGAGAUCGGGAGGAAUAUCAGUGGCGAAGGCGCCCAUCUGGACGGUAACUGACGCUGAGACGCGAAAGCGUGGGGAGCAAACA